This 2080-nucleotide long non-coding RNA is filed under the name Nicotiana benthamiana. RNAcentral describes it as "long non-coding RNA (NBEN_LNC035323)". Lineage: Eukaryota; Viridiplantae; Streptophyta; Magnoliopsida; Solanales; Solanaceae. The record is from RNAcentral.
AGAAACAUUCAUACAGUCAAACUGAUGCAACAGGUCAGAAAUAUAUUUAUGCUGAUUAAGCAGCAUUCCACCAGGAACUACAGACAUCUCAAUGCCCAGGAAAUAAGGCAAAGACCCAAGGUCUUCGAUCCUGAACUGAUCAUCCAGAAACAGCUUCAGGGCAGAUAGCUCAUCAUUAUCAUCCCCAGUGAUGAUAAUGUCAUCCACAUAGACUGCUACAAUAACCAGACAGCCAGGCUGGCCUUUGAAUGAAUAUAGCCUCUGGAGUAAAGGGCAGAGGACAACUUGGCAUACCAUUGUCUGGAUGCCUGCCUCAACCCAUAUAGUGAUUUUUUCAAUUUACAUACAAAAGGAGGAGAUAGAGAAGAAACAGAGUCAGAAGAAGAUACAGAAACAGAUAAACAAUUCAUGGAAUGACUAUAGCCUCUGAAAUAAAGGGUAGAGGACAACUUGGCAUACCAUUGUCUGGAUGCCUGCCUUAACCCAUAUAGUGAUUUUUUCAGUUUACAUACAAGAGGAGGAGAUGGAGAAGAAACAGAGUCAGAAAAAGAUACAGAAACAGAUAAACCUGGAGGAAGCUUCAUAUAAACUUCCUCAUCCAAAUCACCAUGCAAGAAAGCAUUGUUAACAUCAAGUUGAAAAGUUUCCAAUGCUUCUUAGCAGCCACUGCAAUAAGACACUUUACACUGGACAUUUUAACCACAGGAGAAAAGGUGUCAGUAAAAUCAACCCCUUUAAUUUGAGUAUCCCCUCUAAUAACAAGUCUGGCUUUGUGUCUUUCAACACUACCAUCAGCGUUAUACUUGAUCUUAUAAACCCAUUUGCAGCCAAUGGGUUUCUUACCAGAAGGAAGAGGAACAAUGUCCCAAAUACAGUUAGCAUCCAAAGUAUCAAACUCCUUUCUCAUGGCAUCUUGCCAUACUGGACUGAUGCAGCUUGAGAGUAGUAAAUUUCUCAUGGCAUCCUACCAUACUGGAACUGAUGUAGCUUGUGAGUAGUAAAGGGGUUCAGUCUCCAGAGGAAAAGAAUAAGACCCAGAAAAAGCAGGAAGGUGGCAAACAUAAUCUUUAAGGUAAGAAGGAGGAUUGUGCUGUCUGCCUGAUUUCCUGGGAACAGCUGUUGAUGUGGAAGAAGGUAAAGCAGGAGGGGAGAUGUCAGGGUUGAAAGGAGGACCGGAAAGUGGAUUUGAAGAAGGAGAAGCUGGAACAGGAGGUGGAGAGGAAGAGAUUGGAACAGAGAAGUCUUGCUUAGAAGGAGGAAUAGAAUGAAUAGAGGAAGGAAAAACAGGAGGAACAGAGGUGACAGAAGAGGCAAAUUUGAAAGGAAAAGAAGUUUCAUGAAAGACAACAUCCCUGGACACAAAACACUUUUUGUAACUAAGAUCAUAUAGUUUAUAACCCUUUUUAGUGAAAGGAUACCCUAGGAAAAUACAAGAAAUGGCCCUAGGCUUUAACUUGUCCCUUUGAGGAAUGAGGACAGUAGCAUAGGCAAGGCAGCCAAAAGCUUUUAAAUGAGAGUAAGUGGGUGCCUUACUAUGCAAGAUUUCAUAAGGGGAUUAACAGUAGCAUAGGCAAGGCAGCCAAAAGCCUUUAAAUGAGAGUAAGUAGGUGCCUUACCAUGCAAGAUUUCAUAAGGGGACUUACCAUGAAGGAGCCUAGAGGGUAUUUUGUUAAUAAGAUAGGUAGCAGUUAAUAAGCAAACACCCCAAAAGAAGAUAGGUAAACUAGACUGGAAGAGUAAAGCUCUACAAGUUUCAAGAAGAGUUCUAUGUUUUCUCUCAACAACACCAUUCUGUUGAGGAGCAUGUGGGCAAGUGGUUUGGUGUAUGAUGCCAUGUUGGUUAAAAAGGGAUGUACCAGCAAUGCUAGAUCCCAAUUCUAAAGCAUUGGCACUCCUAAUAGUUUGAACAUUUGCAUUAUACUUUGUCUUGACCAUACAGAGAAAAGAUUGAAGCGUGCAGAAAGCAUUGCUUUUAGAUCCUAGCAGAUGUGUCCAGGUUGCCCAAGAAAAAUCAUCAACUAUUGUGAGAAAAUAUCUAGAACCAGUAGAGGUGGGGGUAUGAUAAGGUCCCCAAGUAUCU